This 497-nucleotide ribosomal RNA is filed under the name uncultured bacterium. RNAcentral's name for it is "partial 16S ribosomal RNA". It matches the Rfam family "Bacterial small subunit ribosomal RNA", at positions 28 to 507 of the family's 1533-position model. The record is from RNAcentral.
GAUGAACGCUGGCGGCGUGCCUAAUACAUGCAAGUCGAGCGAACGGACGAGAAGCUUGUUUCUCUGUUGUUUGCGGCGGACGGGUGUGUCACGCGUGGAUACCCUCCCUAUAUUUCUGGGAUAACUUCGGGAAUCCGGCGCUUAUACCGGAUAAUAUUUUGCUCCGCAUGGUUCAUUAGUGAAAGUCGGUCUUGCUGUAUCUUAUCGCUGGAUCCGCGCUGCAUGAGCUAGUUGGUAAGGUAACGGCUUACCACGGCAACGAUGCCUAGCCGACCGGAGAGGGGGAUCGGCCACACUGGAACGGAGACACGGUCCAGACUCCUACGGGAGGCAGCAGUAGGGAAUCGGCCGCAGUGGGCGAAAGCCUGACGGAGCAACGCCGCGUGAGUGAUGAAGGUCUUCGGAGCGUAAAACUCUGUUAUUAGGGAAGAACAGAUGUGUAAGGAACUGUGCACAGCUUGACGGUACCUAAUCAGAAAGCCACGGCUAACUACGUG